ACAUCAGCCUUAGACUCUGAGCCCAAGCAAGGUGAUUACAAUUAUGAUGAUCUAUUAUUCCACUGUGAAGUUAGGUAGGGGGUCUAUUGAGAAGUUCAGGAAGAUCUUGGUCAGGGAAAUCAUCUUCUCCAACUAACUUGCCAAGCCUGAUUCCUGAUUUUACCUUUCACUAUAUAACAUACCUACCCACUCUUUAUACCCAAGUGUCUUACCCAGGGGUGAAGAACUGAAACAUCUUCCUGAACCAGCCUCUGUCACCACUGUCCUCCUGGCAGCAUCCUGAAUUGCGAAGAGCCACCCCGCCCCCCAGACAUUCAGUGACCUAGACUCAGACCUCUGGGGAAGGACACAGUCUCCAGGCUCAGCCAGUAGGCAGGGGACUGUGACAGAAAGGGACAUGUGGCCAAGUCCCUCUGGUGAGAUACAAACCUGGACUUUGGCCAAACCUGGUUUUCAACCUAGAAGCAUCUUUCUCCUGGACCUGGAAGCGAUCCCUUUGAAACACAGUCAUAAAGACAGGGCCUCUGUCUCCUGGGUCCUGUGGGAAGAGUCCUCAGGUGACCUUGGGAGUUCAUGCUUCCUCUCUAAGCCUUCGACCCCAAGCUGAAACAGUGGAGCUGCUGGAGAUGGUACUGGGUGCCCCUGCUAGCUGAGACAUUGCAGGACUUUUGGGACACGAGGUUCUGCCACUCUGAUCAGUCGUCAUCACCGUGUGUGCACAAGAGAACCCUGCAGAGCUUCCCAUGCUACAGCCAUUCAAACCUCUAAUCCUUGGAAUCCUGGUGUGGGAAAACUCAAGUGAAAAUGCCCAGGAAAUUCUGAUUGCUGCAGAGACAUUGAGGGAAUCAGCGAAUCUGGCAAUGAGGUUCUUACUGCAACCCCUAGAGGCAGCUGUCUUAAUGAAGAUGUGGGAACAGGGAGGCCUAUUGCAGAGAAAAAAGGCUGGAGUGCAGUGGUGCCAUCUCAGCUUACUGCAACCUCUGACUCCCUGGUUCAAACGAUUCUCCUGCCUCAGCCUCCCGAGUAGCUGGGAUUACAGGUGUGUGCCACCACGUCUGGGGUUUCACCAUAUUGGCCAGGAUGGUCUCGAUCUCCUGACCUCAUGAUCCGCCCGCCUCGGCCUCCCAAAGUGCUGGGAUUACAGGCAUGAGCCACUGUGCCCGGCCUCUGAUGGUUUCAUAAGGGGCUUCCCCCUUCGUUUGGCUCUAAUUCUCUCUCCUGCCACCCUGUGAAGACGUGCCUUCCGCCAUGAUUGUAAGUUUCCUGAGGCCUCCCCAGCCAUGUGGAACUGUGAGUCAAUCAAACCUCUUUUCUUUAUAAAUUACCCAGUCUCGGGUAUUUCUUCAUAGCAGAGUGAGAACGGAUGAAUACAGUGGGGGAGAGAGUUGCUGUGUUUAUAUUUUAUGUGUUAAAUGCUCUUGGAUGAUCUUCACUCCUCAGAAUUCUCUUGGGUUCUCAGCUUUCCUUAGUUUUCCAGGAGCAUUGUUUGAUAUUUUCACUGAAUGUGUUUAUACCUUUUUCUUUAUGAAUAAAAUCUGGGCAAAUCAAUUAUCUUAAAAUAAUGUCCUCUAAUUUCUAGAUUAAGGACUCAUUAACUCAAUAUUUUUAGAUGUAUUUUUAGUGUUAUUUUUAGAUGUAUUUUUGAUACUAAUUGGUUAUUUGCUUUUCUGCUUCUCUUCCUGAAAUGCAGUUCUCACUUCUUCUGGGAUUAAAAUUAAUUACUAUUCAAAGGACAUUGACAGAAGUUGAGUAAUAAUACUAAGCAUAGUCUACUCUUAGUAUUAUUUCCUUCACAUCAGCAGGUCUCUUAUUCAGGUUAUGAGACCGCUUUGAAAUUAGUGGAGAGAAAAGUUAAUGCUAAACUAAUAUUUGUUUUUUUGCAAAUCAAGGAGAUAAGUCAUUUCAAUGUCCCUGAUGGUUCCAUCUAGAAAUAGAGAUCACAGGUGAUGAAGGAGAUGAUAAUGAUGGUGAUAAUAAGGAUGGCAGUAAUGAGAAAAGCUUCAAUUAACUGGGUGUCUAAUUUGGGACAUGUCUCAAUCAGAAUAGAAUAGUAAGUGCUUUUCAAAGAGAAUUCAGAUGACCAGCACCAUCAGCAUUGCAUGGGAUCCUGUUAGAAAUGCAAAUUUUGGACCCCAACACAAGACCUACUAUACUGCAAUGUUGGGGAGUUGAGCCCAGAGAUAUGGAUUUUAGUAAUCCCUCAAAUGAUUCUUAUGCAUGUUUAAGUUGGAGAAAUAGUGACUAAGUAAUGAUGUGGCAACAAACAAGCCCAGAAUUUCAGUGACGUAAACCUCCGAGAUUUAUUCACUGAUCACACUGUGGGUCCUUAUGGGUCAUCUGCUGUCUGCUCGCCACGUCACUCAGGGGCCUAAGCUGAUGGUGCAGCCCCACAUGGAAACUGCUGGUGGCUAUGGCAGAGGAAAAGAAAAGAGAGAAAAUAUGCUCUGCUUCUGGCUGUCAACAUUUCAGCCAGGAGUAUGCCCUUCCAGUCAAUUAGAAGCCACACUCCACACUUAAAUCUACUGUUACUGCAUCCUUGACAACGAUCUUCUUCCCUGAAACGUCUCCUGUGUGAUGGAUUGAGGGUGCAAAUACCGAUGGCUUUCUAUUUCUCUUCUUUUCUCAUCUCAACUCAAACUAAACAUUUUUUUCAGGAAAAGAAGAAGAACAAAGGAUCUCCACAGAUUAAUGAUUGGGUUUAUUCUUUGAAUGUUUGAUUCUUUUAUAGUUUGAUUUGAGAUAAAUCCUGGUGAUGCUAAUUCCCAACAUAAAAUGUCAUCUGAGUUUAAAUGGGUGACAGUGUUUUCUUCAUUUAAGAUGCUCUUUUAUGACCAUACUAUAAUUAUAAAGAACGGGGUGCUUUGUUUGGCUUUAUGGAAGCAGCAAUCAUAAUCACAAUAAAACACAGUUAUCUUUGCCUCACUUGACCCUACCUUGGAGUAUGCUUCACACAGAAGUGCUAGGGGAUUGGGGCUUAAGGCGAUCACAAAAUACUUUCUAAAUGGCUCACCAGAAAUAAAGAAAAAAGACGAUGAAAGAAAGAAUUUAGUUCUAUGCAGAUUCUUUUUUAUUUUGUUGAAAGACACAUUUUUUCUCCUGCUAAAAAUUACCAAUUCAUUUCCUCUAGAGCUUGAGGCACCAUGACACAGAAACCAAGGACACAUGACUUCAGAUACUUAAGAAAACUCAUGUCAUCAAAUCACAUCAAGAACAUUGGAUGGCACAUCAAGACCUUCGUAAUAAGCUCAUUCACUGUAAAAUAUGGAGACUGGUAGUAUAUAUGCCCUCAAAAAAAGUUAUUAUGAGGGUUCAAGAAAGUGGCCCUUGCAGAAUGCACAGAGCAGUACUCGUCACAUAGAGGCACUCAUCAGUAUUUUCUGUGUAUCAUCAAGAUCAUCAUCAUCACCAUCACCAUGCUGAUCACCCUUUCAACCAUGGAAUGCUGCUGACAUAAGCAAGUGACAAGUUAGAUUCUGCUUGACGUCCUGGUGCUGUGGCUCACGCCUGUAAUCCCAGGACUUUGGGAGGCCGAGGCGGGCAGAUCACGAGGUCAGGAGUUUGAGACCAGCCUGGCCAGCAUGGUGAAACCCUAUCUCUACUAAAAAUACAAAAAUUAGCUGGACUCAGUGGCACGUACCUAUAAUCCCAGCUACUUGGGAGGCUGAGGCAGGAGAAUUGCUUGAACCUGGGGGGCGGAGCUUGCAGUGAGCCAAGAUCGCGCCAGUGCACUCCUGCCUGGGUGACAGAGUGAGACUCCAUCUCAAAAAACAAACAAACAAACAAACAAACAAACAAAAAGAGAUUCUGCUUGAGUCUUUCCAUUCUUAAACAUGAUUAAUGUACGAAAUAUACAAAAAAUGUACAAAAUGCACAUAAAUGUACAGACAAUAAAAAAUUAAAAAUAAAAAAUGAUAAUCCAUG
Molecule: long non-coding RNA, 3921 nt
Filed under: Homo sapiens (human)
Lineage: Eukaryota; Metazoa; Chordata; Mammalia; Primates; Hominidae
Description: HSALNT0371596
Source: RNAcentral